CCCGCUGAACUUAAGCAUAUCAAUAAGCGGAGGAAAAGAAACUAACAAGGAUUCCCCUAGUAACUGCGAGUGAAGCGGGAAAAGCUCAAAUUUAAAAUCUGGCGGUCCUCUGGCUGUCCGAGUUGUAAUCUGGAGAAGCGUUUUCCGCAUCGGACCGUGUACAAGUCUUCUGGAACGGAGCGUCAUAGAGGGUGAGAAUCCCGUCUCUGACAAGGACUGCCGACGCUUCAUGUGAUACGCUCUCGAAGAGUCGAGUUGUUUGGGAAUGCAGCUCAAAAUGGGUGGUAAAUUCCAUCUAAAGCUAAAUACUGGCGAGAGACCGAUAGCGAACAAGUACCGUGAGGGAAAGAUGAAAAGCACUUUGGAAAGAGAGUUAAACAGUACGUGAAAUUGUUGAAAGGGAAACGUUUGAAGUCAGUCGCGUCGGCCGGGACUCAGCCUUGCUAUCUUGCUUGGUGCACUUCUCGGUCGACGGGUCAGCAUCAAUUUUGACCGUCGGAUAAAGGCCGAGGGAACGUGGCAUCCUCCGGGGUGUGUUAUAGCCUGGUGAUGCAUACAGUGGUUGGGAUUGAGGAAUUCAGCACGCCACCAGGCCGGGUUUUGACCACGUUCGUGCUUAGGAUGCUGGCAUAAUGGCUUUAAUUGACCCGUCUUGAAACACGG
RNAcentral lists this ribosomal RNA (663 nucleotides) under uncultured fungus. RNAcentral describes it as "eukaryotic LSU rRNA". It matches the Rfam family "Eukaryotic large subunit ribosomal RNA", at positions 24 to 664 of the family's 3401-position model. The record is from RNAcentral. Lineage: Eukaryota; Fungi.